This is a long non-coding RNA of Brassica napus (rape), 1541 nucleotides long. RefSeq lists it as uncharacterized. The record is from RefSeq and is a predicted model, not a curated record. Lineage: Eukaryota; Viridiplantae; Streptophyta; Magnoliopsida; Brassicales; Brassicaceae. The transcript has 6 exons.
UUUAUUUUCUUUUAAUUUUAGAUGUUUUGUUGGUAAUGCUAUAGUUGACUAUAGAUGAGUAAUAUCGAUUUAUGAAACUAUGUUAACAAAUUAAUAUGAGGUCUUUCUAAUUAUUUUGGAUGUACAGAGAAAUAAAAUAUUUGGCCCAAACAUUAUAUGGAUUUAAUUAUAAGAUAAUAAGGAUGGGUUAAUAAAUUCAUUUAUGGAUCAAGCCCAAUAAUUAACAGAAUACAAUUUAAUAUAUAAAUAUCUAAUCUGUUUAGGCCCAAACGUGUAACAGAAUUUAGUCCGGGAAAAAAACGUGUAAAGUGAACUACUUUUGUUUAACUAAAGAUUUUUUUUGUCUGUGUAAAAUUCGAGAACCUAUCUUCUAUUUUUUUUUCUAUUUUCUCUCUGUUCUUCGAUUACCUUCUAAUGUUCUACCGAAAUAAUCUACGAAUCAACUUUCUCACCAGGAAUUUUUUUUUUAUCAAGACAAAGAUGAGGUUUAAUCUAUUGAUCGGAGGAAAAUCAAAGAUAUACAAUUCCUGGUAGAUCAGACGGUGAAUUGAGAGAUGGAGUAUUAGAAAAGGUGUCACAGUUUUUUCAAACGACCAGAAGCAAUAUCAAUCUGGGAUAUUUGCAACAACGAUGUCAUUUAUCAAGUACAUCGUUUUUAAGAAAAGAUAAGUUUCUUGACCUUAUUGAAACCUAAAUUAAUGUUGGUUUUCCAAAAAUAUCCAAUCUGUUGUUCUUUGUACUGCCUUUUUGUAUCAAUUAAAUUAUAUUUUUCUUGCUUGAUCUUAUUUUUCCUUUGUUGUCUGGUAACUGAUAUUUGUUUUGUUCAGUUAAAGCUAAUAUAUGAUAAUAUAUAUAUAUAUAUAUAUAUAUAUAUAUAUAUAUAUAUAUAUAUAGGUAAUUCCCAAGACAUGAUUAAAGAAAACAGUGGAAAACAUAGCAUUGGAACAACUCAAAAGAAAACAAUUUCAGAGAACAAAGCAGUGGAGUUCGCUGCUUCUGAGCUUGCUGCUGCUGAGGUCGAUGUAGCUGAGUUCGCUGCUGAUGAGUUCGUUGGAGAUGAGCCCGCUGCUGCUUGUGGCCCUGGUGGUUCGACUACCACAGUUACACGGGAGGAAUUGGUGACGUUGGAGUUACUUAUGAUGGACAUCUUGUACUUAUGACUCGUCGCUCGAUACUUUCCAGCAGUUGCAGACAGUAAGAAAUUCUCAAUGAACCUCCAUUGUCCAACCUGAAGUUUUUUAACACGACCAUAGAAGAGUCUCUUGCAGUAUGAACUGAAGAGAGUCUCCACCAGAAUAAGAUGAAUGUUGUGUCCAUGAAUGAAGAACUUUCACUUCAACCUUCCAUGUUGUUUUGAAUGGUUUGACAUCGUUCAACAAAGUGAUCGGGUCCGAGGUUUCUCUAAAUAUAACAGAAAAGAAGGUGAUUUCAAAAACAAUUUUGAAUAGAAGCAAAUAUGAUAAAACAUAUUCAUGUUCUUUGUGUGAUUAUGAUAUUUGUAAUUUUAAAGAAUCAUUCAACUUAGAGCCAAGUUAUAUCUA